RNAcentral lists this ribosomal RNA (253 nucleotides) under uncultured bacterium. RNAcentral describes it as "partial 16S ribosomal RNA". It matches the Rfam family "Bacterial small subunit ribosomal RNA", at positions 524 to 776 of the family's 1533-position model. The record is from RNAcentral.
UACAGAGGGGGCAAGCGUUGUUCGGAAUUACUGGGCGUAAAGGGCGCGUAGGCCGCCUUCUAAGUCGAACGUGAAAUCCCCGGGCUCAACCCGGGAACUGCGUCCGAUACUGGAAGGCUUGAAUCCGGGAGAGGGAUGCGGAAUUCCAGGUGUAGCGGUGAAAUGCGUAGAUAUCUGGAGGAACACCGGUGGCGAAGGCGGCAUCCUGGACCGGCAUUGACGCUGAGGCGCGAAAGCCAGGGGAGCAAACGGG